AACGAACGCUGGCGGCGUGCUUAACACAUGCAAGUCGAGCGAGAAAGGGAGCUUCGGCUUCUGAGUAAAGCGGCGCACGGGUGAGUAACACGUGGGUAACCCUGCCUUUCAGUGGGGGAUAACAGUCCGAAAGGGCUGCUAAUACCGCAUUUCGUCCACGGGCUCUCAUGAGCCCUGUGGAGAAAGAGGCGCAAGUCUCGCUGGAAGAUGGGCCCGCGGUCCAUUAGCUAGUUGGUGGGGUAAAGGCCUACCAAGGCUUCGAUGGAUAGCUGGUCUGAGAGGAUGAUCAGCCACACUGGAACUGAGACACGGUCCAGACUCCUACGGGAGGCAGCAGUGGGGAAUAUUGCGCAAAUGGGCGAAAGCCUGACGCAGCAACGCCGCGUGUGUGAUGAAGGCCCUUGG
RNAcentral lists this ribosomal RNA (405 nucleotides) under uncultured bacterium. RNAcentral's name for it is "bacterial SSU rRNA". It matches the Rfam family "Bacterial small subunit ribosomal RNA", at positions 29 to 421 of the family's 1533-position model. The record is from RNAcentral.